RNAcentral lists this ribosomal RNA (497 nucleotides) under uncultured bacterium. Its description in RNAcentral is "partial 16S ribosomal RNA". It matches the Rfam family "Bacterial small subunit ribosomal RNA", at positions 28 to 507 of the family's 1533-position model. The record is from RNAcentral.
GAUGAACGCUGGCGGCGUGCCUAAUACAUGCAAGUCGAGCGAACGGACGAGAAGCUUGCUUCUCUGAUGUUAGCGGCGGACGGGUGAGUAACACGUGGAUAACCUACCUAUAAGACUGGGAUAACUUCGGGAAACCGUAGCUAAUACCGGAUAAUAUUUUGAACCGCAUGGUUCAAAAGUGAAAGACGGUCUUGCUGUCACUUAUAGAUGGAUCCGCGCUGCAUUAGCUAGUUGGUAAGGUAACGGCUUACCAAGGCAACGAUGCAUAGCCGACCUGAGAGGGUGAUCGGCCACACUGGAACUGAGACACGGUCCAGACUCCUACGGGAGGCAGCAGUAGGGAAUCUGCCGCAAUGGGCGAAAGCCUGACGGAGCAACGCCGCGUGAGUGAUGAAGGUCUUCGGAUCGUAAAACUCUGUUAUGAGGGAAGAACAGAUGUGUAAGUAACUGUGCACAUCUUGACGGUACCUAAUCAGAAAGCCACGGCUAACUACGUG